CAUUUUCUCCGAAUGGCACUUGAAGAAUUCACGGGUGGUUUUGCAAUCCCGUGAUUCUCACGUGCCGUACGGAGCGAGAG
Molecule: microRNA precursor, 80 nt
Filed under: Folsomia candida
Lineage: Eukaryota; Metazoa; Arthropoda; Collembola; Entomobryomorpha; Isotomidae
Description: mir-263 microRNA precursor family
Rfam family: mir-263 microRNA precursor family
Source: Rfam by way of RNAcentral